Long non-coding RNA from Labeo rohita (rohu), 2664 nucleotides. RefSeq lists it as uncharacterized. NCBI's taxonomy places the organism in Eukaryota, Metazoa, Chordata, Actinopteri, Cypriniformes, Cyprinidae. The transcript has 3 exons. The record is from RefSeq and is a predicted model, not a curated record.
CCGCCUGCGCCGGGUCCGCCUCGGUCACUUUCAGAGCGCCAUUUCCAGUGCUGAGGGACUGACAAGGAAAACACUCCUCAAGAAGCGCGACAAAAGGAAAUACCUCACCACAAGCUAUACGGAGAAAAAUGAAAUGCGACCAGGCAGUGGUUUGAGAGCGCACCAGUGCCUCGGUCCCACAGGAGAGGCCAUUAACCUUUUUGGGUUAAGCAUGACUAAGAGAGAUGCACUUCAGUGAGGUCAAACACCAGGACACACAGAGAAAUAUCACUGAGAGACCGCCUGAGAGAUUUUUUUGCAGUACUUUUAUAUAAAAAGAAGCACACUAAUAUCUUUGCCUGGACUCUCAACACAUUUAUUUUCUAAUAGACCUGACAGUAAUACAAGCACUUUACCCCCCCAAUUAUGUACAUUUAAACUAUUGAACUGAGCUUACUAAGGAAUCAUAUCAAGGCAUACUAAAUAUAGCAACUACAAUACUGUAUGAGUCAUACUGAAAGAAAAGUACAAGGCGUUAAGUACAUCAGAUAUAUAUUUUAAUGGAAAAAAGUUAUUUAACAGAAAUAAUCUCUCUCUCUCUCUCUCUAUACACACAUAUUUUCAUUCACUGAUAUGAAGAUGAAAUAUAUAUACUGUUUUAUGUGGAAGUUUGGAAAUCUGUAAAAAUGUGAAGAAUUUUAAAAUGUAUGCUAUUUUUUUAUUUAUUACCUUUUAUGUAAAAUAUCUUACCCUGAGUAAGAUAUUUUACAUAAAAGAUGUUUACAUAUAGUCCACAAGACCAAAAAUAGAGCUGGGGGGUGAAAACUUUUUGAAUUUAAAGAUCAAGUAAAUUGUACUUAAUUUGUCUUCCGGGAAACAUACAAGUAUCUUCUGUUGCUUCUGAAGUGCAGUACUAAAUGGGAAAAAAUACAAUAAAUUUCAACAAAAUAAGAAAUUUGGACAUCUUCAUCCUGUUCAAAAGUUUUCACCCCCCUGAUUCUUAAUGCAUCGUGUUUCCUUCUGGAGAAUCAGUGAAUGUUUGACCCUUUUUUAAUAGUUGGGUUUGGGUCUCUCAAUAGUUUGGGUCUCUCAGUUGUCCUCAGUGUGAAGAGAUGGAUUUCAAAACAAUACAGUCACUGCUGGAUUCAAAUAUGCAAAGAUGCUGGAAAACUGAAGAAUCUGCAGGACCUGGAGGAUUUUUCUAAAGAACAGUGCUCAUUUUAACUGUUCAGAACAAACAAGGGACUCAUUAACAACCAUCACAAAACAAAAAAAGUUGAUGUAGAUCAUCCAGGUAACCACACACAGCAUUACAAACCAAGGGUUCCCAAACUUUUAAAGGGUUAUUUAAUAAUUUUUUGGUCUUUUUGGUCUUAUUGACUAUACGUAAACCUCUUUCAUGUAAAACAUCUUACUCAAGACAGUACUAAAUACAAAAUAACAUGCAUUUUGUAUGAUCUCUCUUUUUUGGUUAAAAUUAUUCAUAUUUUCACAGAUUCUGCAAGGGGUUUCCAAACAUUCACAUAAAGCUGUAAGUAUACAAAACGUAAACAAAGCAGCGCUUGCUUACUAUUGUGAGUAUCAGUUAUGUUGAUAACUUUCUUCAUUUUAAGCGGCUCAAGUUAUUAUGAAAAUAUUCACAUAUGAUUGGGUAACAUCAGGUAGCAUUAGAACAGUCUAAUGCUACCUGACAUCAGUCAGUUUGUGCCGUCUUCGUUUACUUACUCGUUUUUAUCAUUUUCGCUAAUUCUCCGACACGACUUGUUCGCUAAACUAAGCAUCCAAUCAGAGAUCUCACUCACGCUGACAGCAAACUGCUGCCAACGUAAGCCCAACGACAGGCGACGUCUGGAUCACACCAAACAAACUGGCCCGACAGACGCUGCCUGAUGGCCCGAAGUUGACCGACUGCCAACCGCCAACCGUUGGCUUGGUGUGUCCUCGUCUUUAUUCUUCAGCUGGGAUCGUGUAGAGCCGUUUGAAGCUGCACUAAAACUGCAAUUUGGACCUUCAACCCGUUGGACACCAUUGAAGUCCACUAUAUGGAGAAAAAUCCUGGAAUAUUUUCCUCAAAAACCUUCAUUUCUUUUCGACUGAAGAAAGAAAGACAUGAACAUCUUGGAUGACAUAGGGGUGACAGUGAGGUGCUUAACUGAGGAGAUGGCGACUGGCAUGCUGAGCAGAGGACACACAUUGAUUAAAGCUGGCAUUUAAAAACUACUUGUCGUAGUUUGUCCCUGCUUUGAGGAGCACCGGAUGGGUUUCAGAUGGAGAUUUCCCCCAGGGACACGGCGCAUCUGAACGUGUUGAUUAUCCACGGCCAUAAGUUACACCCUCAACUGGCCCGCGGACACAAUUAAUCACAUGACCCACCGCCGCGAGAUUAAUUCUGAAGCCUUGGACUACAGCCCUUUCCAUUCAAUCACGGACGGAAAUCUAACAGAGACGGCCAAUAAUACGAGCACACACAGAGACUAAUGAGAAGAUGAAUGCUGCUACACAGGGAGAGAAAAUCAAACAAACAAAUAAACAGAUGCCCUUAUUAGGCAGAUUUGGUUGAAGUCAGGCAAGUGCCGUCCACCAGCUGCUUGUUGUCACACCAGUUACUAGAGUAAAGGACCACUGUAACUCAACCCGCACAUAACAACCCCCUCAUAAUCGCCAUGACAACAUGACGCCCGGUCA